This is a non-coding RNA of Ictidomys tridecemlineatus (thirteen-lined ground squirrel), 271 nucleotides long. The record is from RefSeq and is a predicted model, not a curated record. Lineage: Eukaryota; Metazoa; Chordata; Mammalia; Rodentia; Sciuridae.
AUACACAAGAAAUUCCAAAAAACAGGAGUUGUUCUGCAGUUCUGAUUUCCUUGGAUUUGAAGAAAAAAACCUCAACUUUUGAAUCUGUACCACGUUUCUGGAAUUGCAUUUGAGAGACCAGCACUCUCAGAAUGGUUGAAAAACGACAGCAGAAUCUGGAAGAUAUUGAACAAAAUGUCACUGAGCUGUUACCCAGGAACCCAUACUGCCCCAAUGAAGGCAUGCACUGUGGCUGCAGACUGCCUAACGUGCCUCUCCAGACACCUGUGGU